UCCUGUGUUUGCAAUUUGAGUGUAUGUUUGAAUGCUCAAGUGCACACAGCCAGAAACAGAGUCACCUUCUGGUGUCUUUUUUUUUUUUUUUUAAGUUUAUCUAUUUAUUUUGAGAGAGAGAGAGAGAGAGAGAGAGAGAGAGAGAGAGAGAAGAGCGAGCAGGGGAGUACCAGAGAGGGAUCCCAAGCAGGUUCUGUGCUUAGAAAGUGGGGCUCAAACCCUUGAACCAUGAGACCAUGAUCUGAGCCGAAAUCAAGUCAGCCGCUUAACCAAUUGAGCCAUCCAGGCACCCCUCCCUCUAGCAUCUUGUUUGCCCCACGGCUUGAAUUUAAGAUUUAUGAUUGUUUUCUCAGGGGAAUGAGCAUCACGGAGCAAGCUGGAUCCCAGAAUGUGCCUGAUGGUCUGCUGUGUGCCCGUGACACUCAGUCCCGGUGCUUCUGUAGGUACAGCCGCCUUGGCUUGAAAUGGCUCCCAGUCUGUAGGCUGGGUCAGACUCUGUGGCCCCACAGAAGUCCACAUGGACGUUUCUCCUCUGUCUGGUACACUUGCUGAAGGGUCUUGCUGGCCAGUCCCUAAAGAAGAGGUUUUAUGAUUGAGGUGGACUGUUUUGGAAAUAGAACCUUGGCUUCGCUUCUUCUGAUGGGCUGACUCUUCCAAAACUGGGGAAAAGGAGGAUGCCUGUGUUUUCAUCAUGAGACGACCUGUUUUGGAUUUUGGAAAUGUGGGGAGAAGAGUUAAUGCAGAGAAAGAAGAGACCAGACAGGAGAAACAGGAAGCCCGAAGAUACCCUGAGGUUUGGGUCAAAUCCUGGGAUAAAUCAAAGUAUGGUCAAAGAGCUAUUGAGAAGGCAGAGCAGAAGGAACGUACAAGCAUGACUGGUGGAAAUGUAACCGCUCCAGAAAACCUCGGUCAGUUUCUCCAAAGUUAAUGUAUGGGAUCAUGUGACCCUGACAUCCCACUUCUCGGUAUGCAUUCUAGAAAAAUGAAAUUUACGUUAAAUCAAACACUAUCCAUGUAUGUUAAUGAGA
Molecule: long non-coding RNA, 1028 nt
Filed under: Felis catus (domestic cat)
Lineage: Eukaryota; Metazoa; Chordata; Mammalia; Carnivora; Felidae
Description: lncRNA (ENSFCAG00000042850.2)
Source: RNAcentral